RNAcentral lists this long non-coding RNA (1552 nucleotides) under Gossypium barbadense (sea-island cotton). Its description in RNAcentral is "long non-coding RNA (GBAR_LNC012105)". The record is from RNAcentral. Lineage: Eukaryota; Viridiplantae; Streptophyta; Magnoliopsida; Malvales; Malvaceae.
GGAGUUUUACACAGUGGGCAAUGGACAUCAUUUUAAAAUGUUCCAUCAUUCAAGGGGAAAUUGAUCUGGGGAUGAUAAUAUCUCCAAUGUUGUUGUGCCAUGGAUCAGCCAAGUGAGUUGCCAAGUUCUCCAAUGGUCCAGUUCCAGGGUAAGCUGAUUGUUGAACACAAAAUCCCACAAACGCCAACAAUGCCAAACGACCUGCAAACAACAAAAUCAAUCGGAUUUUCUUGGAUGGGUAGCUCAACUCUCAAACAAUUCUCAUCAAACAUAUAAAAAAAGGGAUUGAAGUUCUUUACCGUUCUUGAUCUCUUUGACUUUGUAUUCCUCGAACUUUUUAGGGUCCUUGGAGUAUCCCAAGGGGUCGAAAGCACCGCCGGGGUACUUCUUUUUCUCGGUAUCUUUCUCCAUGCUGCGUUGGUGCUCGACGAAGGCGAUGGCAAGGAACUCGAUGACCAAGAUUGUUGGGAGAGUUCCCCAUGGAACAGGGUUGCCUAAGUAAGUGGCUUGCCCACCAGGAACGGCUGCCCAUUCUUGUGCCUUUACCCAGUUUCCAUACCCCAAUGCCUCUGGCACCAAUAUACCAGGCUGCAAAUUAUAGUUUUAUUAGACUCAAUUUGAGGAUUUAGUUAAUUUUUUAUUUAAAUAUUAAACCUUUUAUUGAUUUUAGUGUUACGAGUGAAUCCAACACCAACACAGUUGAAUGAUAAUGAAUAUAUUCUUACUUUAUAAAAUAAAUUAUAUUAUUUUAAAACUUAUUUUUAUCAUUUUAUAUCUUUUAUAUAAAGAAAUAAAUAUAUAAAUAUACAUAAUAAAAUUUGGACCAAAGUCUCUAGAGCUUUCAAUAUUUAUACUUUGUCGUUCAACCAAAAUCUCAUUUGUUAGACAUAUAUUUUUAUAUAAAUAUAACAUAAUUUUGCUUUUUCUUUCUUAUAAUGAGUGUGGUAUUUUAAUAUAUAUAUAUAAAAUAAUAAAAUAUAAUUAUUGUGAUAAUUCACUUUUAAAAUGGGCUUAUUUAAAGAGAAACAUUUGCCGUUAUAGUGAUUUAAGGUAAGUAAGAGGACUAAAUUAGACUAAAUUAAAAUAUAGAGACUAAAACCAUAAUUUGAGGGAAGAAAACACUUACAACAGCAAGCAUAGCCCAUCUGCAGUGAAUCAACUCAGAUUCCUUGUAUCUCUCAAGGUUCUCCGGCACCUCACCAAGUCUAAGUGGAUCAAAUCCAAAGUCACUGAAAAACCAAAUAUAUAUAUACACACAUUCAUAAGAAAUACUUAAAAAUUGCUACAAAAAGAAAAGAAAGAUGGAAUUUUUUUGUUUGAAACUUUACCCAGGUGCUGAACCAUCAAGAUAAGGAGGCCUAGGCUGACCAGGCAUCCAGUCAGCCGACAUGCUAACACGGUGACCAACAUUGGCGCCAAAGCUAGGCAACGGCGUAGCGGUGGAGAACUUGGACUUUGAAGAGGAAAGCACUGAAGGGAAAGCGGUGGCGAUGCCACAGCUCAUCAAUGUGUUGGUGGCGGCCAUGGGAGGAAAAUGGGUUUUCGUUUGGGG